UACAGAGGGUGCAAGCGUUAAUCGGAAUUACUGGGCGUAAAGCGUGCGUAGACGGUUGCGUAAGUCAGAUGUGAAGGCCCCGGGCUCAACCUGGGAAUUGCAUUUGAGACUGCGUAGCUAGGGUGCGGAAGAGGGAAGCGGAAUUUCCGGUGUAGCGGUGAAAUGCGUAGAUAUCGGAAGGAACACCAGUGGCGAAAGCGGCUUCCUGGUCCAGCACCGACGUUCAGGCACGAAAGCGUGGGGAGCAAACAGG
This 253-nucleotide ribosomal RNA is filed under the name uncultured bacterium. RNAcentral describes it as "partial 16S ribosomal RNA". It matches the Rfam family "Bacterial small subunit ribosomal RNA", at positions 524 to 776 of the family's 1533-position model. The record is from RNAcentral.